Molecule: ribosomal RNA, 253 nt
Filed under: uncultured bacterium
Lineage: Bacteria
Description: partial 16S ribosomal RNA
Rfam family: Bacterial small subunit ribosomal RNA
Source: RNAcentral
UACGUAGGGUGCAAGCGUUGUCCGGAAUUAUUGGGCGUAAAGAGCUCGUAGGCGGUUUGUCGCGUCUGCUGUGAAAACUCGGGGCUUAACCCCGGGCCUGCAGUGGGUACGGGCAGACUAGAGUGCGGUAGGGGAGACUGGAAUUCCUGGUGUAGCGGUGAAAUGCGUAGAUAUCAGGAGGAACACCGGUGGCGAAGGCGGCUCUCUGGACCACAACUGACGCUGAGGCGCGAAAGCUAGGGGAGCAAACAGG